UGCCCUGGGCCCGGAGGGGCCUGCUCCCGGGCCGUGGUGUAAAUCGCAAAUGACUUCAGGCAGUUGAUUUAGAGAGCAGUGCCUGCCAGCUUCUCGUGUUACAAAAACACCGGCUCUCCGCAGGACAAGCCUGACACGAGUGCUCCUGUCUCCUGGCUGACAGGCUGCAGCAGGCGCUGGGCAUCACCUCCACCUGGACUUAAAAGCACAGAGCUGUUCCCAGCCCUGAGCACCAGCCAGGCUCUGCUUGAUGAUUAAUGCUCUGCAUGUGUUUUUGAUAGAGUUGGGCAUUUCCUCUGCUAUUAUAUGGAAAACAUGUGUCUGGGGGAGUGAUGUGGGGCUGUGUGGACUAUCUCUGUAACUGUGAGUGGUAACUGACCCCUUUGACUUGGGGAUGCCCCAUUUCCAGGCAAGAUGCAAGCCCUAGAUAGAGGCAGGUGUGUAGCCGUACAGGCGCUGAGCCUGCCUUCCCUUCCACCAGCCGUAGUGUGACCUUUCUGUGCUGGAGGUACCGAGGGCAGGACUGAGCCCACCUUGUGUUCAGAGAAGCACUCGCAGGACCUGUCUGUCUGGGAAUCGCAUCAGACCAACUCCUGCUGCUGGUUGGCCUGCGUGGAGCUGAUGCAGACCGGUAACGCAUCACCUGUAAGAGCUGAGGCUGUUCCAGCUUAGCAGAGUCUUCCUUUUCUGCUGAAGCAGUUGGUUUGGAAAGCGCAUUAGAAAAAAAGACUUUGCUGUAGGCUAAUGGAGAACACGUAGCAGAUCCAGGAGUGAAAGACAAGACGAACCUAUUUGCUAAUGGAGUUUAAAUAGCCUAGUAUAAAGCAGAUAUGCCAUGCUUGGA
Long non-coding RNA from Pygoscelis adeliae (Adelie penguin), 844 nucleotides. RefSeq lists it as uncharacterized. The record is from RefSeq and is a predicted model, not a curated record. NCBI's taxonomy places the organism in Eukaryota, Metazoa, Chordata, Aves, Sphenisciformes, Spheniscidae. The transcript is spliced from 2 exons.